RNAcentral lists this ribosomal RNA (1397 nucleotides) under Pedobacter sp. Its description in RNAcentral is "bacterial SSU rRNA". It matches the Rfam family "Bacterial small subunit ribosomal RNA". The record is from RNAcentral. Lineage: Bacteria; Pseudomonadati; Bacteroidota; Sphingobacteriia; Sphingobacteriales; Sphingobacteriaceae.
AUACAUGCAAGUCGACGAUACUCCUUUUGGCUUGCUAGAGAGGAAAGUGGCGCACGGGUGCGUAACGCGUAUGCAACCUACCUUAAUCAGGGGGAUAGCCCGAAGAAAUUCGGAUUAACACCGCAUAAAAUCACAGUACAGCAUUGUACAAUGAUCAAAUAUUUAUAGGAUUAAGAUGGGCAUGCGUGACAUUAGUUAGUUGGCGGGGUAACGGCCCACCAAGACCACGAUGUCUAGGGGAUCUGAGAGGAUGACCCCCCACACUGGUACUGAGACACGGACCAGACUCCUACGGGAGGCAGCAGUAAGGAAUAUUGGUCAAUGGAGGCAACUCUGAACCAGCCAUGCCGCGUGCAGGAAGACAGCCCUCUGGGUCGUAAACUGCUUUUAUUCGGGAAUAAACCUACUUACGUGUAAGUAGCUGAAUGUACCGAAGGAAUAAGGAUCGGCUAACUCCGUGCCAGCAGCCGCGGUAAUACGGAGGAUCCAAGCGUUAUCCGGAUUUAUUGGGUUUAAAGGGUGCGUAGGCGGCUUUUUAAGUCAGGGGUGAAAGACGGUGGCUCAACCAUCGCAGUGCCCUUGAUACUGAAGAGCUUGAAUACAUUAGAGGUAGGCGGAAUGUGACAAGUAGCGGUGAAAUGCAUAGAUAUGUCACAGAACACCGAUUGCGAAGGCAGCUUACUAUGAUGUUAUUGACGCUGAGGCACGAAAGCGUGGGGAUCAAACAGGAUUAGAUACCCUGGUAGUCCACGCCCUAAACGAUGAAUACUCGCUGUUAGCGAUACACAGUUAGCGGCUAAGCGAAAGCGUUAAGUAUUCCACCUGGGGAGUACGGUCGCAAGAUUGAAACUCAAAGGAAUUGACGGGGGCCCGCACAAGCGGAGGAGCAUGUGGUUUAAUUCGAUGAUACGCGAGGAACCUUACCCGGGCUUGAAAGUUAGUGAAUCAUUUAGAGAUAGAUGAGUCCGCAAGGACACGAAACUAGGUGCUGCAUGGCUGUCGUCAGCUCGUGCCGUGAGGUGUUGGGUUAAGUCCCGCAACGAGCGCAACCCCUAUGUUUAGUUGCCAGCACGUAAUGGUGGGGACUCUAAACAGACUGCCUGUGCAAACAGAGAGGAAGGAGGGGACGACGUCAAGUCAUCAUGGCCCUUACGUCCGGGGCUACACACGUGCUACAAUGGAUGGUACAGAGGGCAGCAAGCUGGUAACAGCAAGCAAAUCUCCAAAAGCCAUUCACAGUUCGGAUAGAGGUCUGCAACUCGACCUCUUGAAGUUGGAUUCGCUAGUAAUCGUAUAUCAGCAAUGAUACGGUGAAUACGUUCCCGGGCCUUGUACACACCGCCCGUCAAGCCAUGGAAGUUGGGGGUACCUAAAGUAUGUAACCGCAAGGAGCGUCC